CCUACGGGGCGCUGCAGUGGGGGAUAUUGCACAAUGGGGGAAACCCUGAUGCAGCGACGCCGCGUGGGCGAAGAAGUAUUUCGGUAUGUAAAGCCCUAUCAGCAGGGAAGAAGAAAUGACGGUACCUGAGUAAGAAGCACCGGCUAAAUACGUGCCAGCAGCCGCGGUAAUACGUAGGGGGCAAGCGUUAUCCGGAUUUACUGGGUGUAAAGGGAGCGUAGACGGCUUGGCAAGCCAGAUGUGAAAGGCUGGGGCUCAACCCCAGGACUGCAUUUGGAACUGUCAUGCUAGAGUGUCGGAGAGGCAGGCGGAAUUCCUAGUGUAGCGGUGAAAUGCGUAGAUAUUAGGAGGAACACCAGUGGCGAAGGCGGCCUGCUGGACGAUGACUGACGUUGAGGCUCGAAAGCGUGGGGAGCAAACAGGAUUAGAUACCCCUGUAGUC
This 442-nucleotide ribosomal RNA is filed under the name uncultured bacterium. RNAcentral describes it as "partial 16S ribosomal RNA". It matches the Rfam family "Bacterial small subunit ribosomal RNA", at positions 338 to 795 of the family's 1533-position model. The record is from RNAcentral.